This 700-nucleotide ribosomal RNA is filed under the name uncultured rumen bacterium. Its description in RNAcentral is "bacterial SSU rRNA". It matches the Rfam family "Bacterial small subunit ribosomal RNA", at positions 149 to 862 of the family's 1533-position model. The record is from RNAcentral.
CAGCGAAAGUUGUACUAAUACCGCAUAAGACCACAACGGGACAUCCCGAAGGGGUCAAAGGAGCAAUCCGGUGAAGGGUGGGCUCGCGUCCGAUUAGAUAGUUGGUGAGGUAACGGCCCACCAAGUCGACGAUCGGUAGCCGACCUGAGAGGGUGAUCGGCCACAUUGGGACUGAGACACGGCCCAAACUCCUACGGGAGGCAGCAGUGGGGAAUAUUGGGCAAUGGGGGAAACCCUGACCCAGCAACGCCGCGUGAGGGAAGAAGGUUUUCGGAUCGUAAACCUCUGUCCUUGGUGAAGAGGAAGAGACGGUAGCCAAGGAGGAAGCCCCGGCUAACUACGUGCCAGCAGCCGCGGUAAUACGUAGGGGGCGAGCGUUGUCCGGAAUGAUUGGGCGUAAAGGGCGCGUAGGCGGCCCGGUAAGUCUGGAGUGAAAGUCCUGUUUUUAAGAUGGGAAUUGCUUUGGAUACUGUCGGGCUUGAGUGCAGGAGAGGUAAGUGGAAUUCCCAGUGUAGCGGUGAAAUGCGUAGAGAUUGGGAGGAACACCAGUGGCGAAGGCGACUUACUGGACUGUAACUGACGCUGAGGCGCGAAAGUGUGGGGAGCAAACAGGAUUAGAUACCCUGGUAGUCCACACUGUAAACGAUGAAUGCUAGGUGUAGGGGGUAUCGACCCCUUCUGUGCCGCAGUUAACACAAUA